Molecule: non-coding RNA, 341 nt
Organism: Paramuricea clavata
Lineage: Eukaryota; Metazoa; Cnidaria; Anthozoa; Malacalcyonacea; Plexauridae
Source: the annotation of a GenBank genome assembly
CAGUGCGCUUUCAACUAAUAUGUGGCCCUAUAUUGUAACGCUUGAUAAACGAGUGUCGAAGGCACGAGCCGAGCGCCACAGGUGCGAGGUUUCUCUAGGGGGAUCCGGGGGCAUGCCCCCUGGGAAAAUUUUUGAAUUUGGGGUCUCUGAAAUGCUAUUUCCUGGACUUUGGGGGGAAGGUUUGACAGAAAUCUAAUGGUCAGGAAACGGCAUUAUAACGUGUUGAAAUUUGCAAUUUGGUUACAAUUUAGUAGUAGUACUUAAAUUGGGCAAUGUUAACUCAGUUCCAGCGAUUAAUCUAAUCCCAAUUCUAUUCUCUACUGAUCUGGUGAUCUGAAUAC